AGAUCAUUUGUUCAGACGUUUUUUUUGAAACGUCAUUCAUGUUCUUUUGAUAAACGCAGUAUCUUGCGUCAGCGUCACCAAAUAUUCAAGCGGUGAAAGAAA
Long non-coding RNA from Brassica rapa (field mustard), 102 nucleotides. RefSeq lists it as uncharacterized. The record is from RefSeq and is a predicted model, not a curated record. Lineage: Eukaryota; Viridiplantae; Streptophyta; Magnoliopsida; Brassicales; Brassicaceae.